RNAcentral lists this long non-coding RNA (633 nucleotides) under Sinocyclocheilus anshuiensis. RNAcentral's name for it is "lncRNA (ENSSANG00000049978.1)". The record is from RNAcentral. Lineage: Eukaryota; Metazoa; Chordata; Actinopteri; Cypriniformes; Cyprinidae.
GAUGACAAUCACAACAACAACACGUGCAGAUCCUGCAGAUUAUUUUGGUCUUAAAAAUGUCGCUUUAACAGCACAUAUUUCAGCUCAACUGCAAACAAAACCGACACACAGUCCGAUAAAAUGCUGGAGUCACGCGACUCACCUAAUAAGUGCUGUGCUGUGGAUUGUAAAGCUGGACAGACAGUGACUGUAAUGAUGGACAUCUGCUUGUGGACAGGUGAUGUAUCUACUGUGUGAAUGUGUGUUCUAGUGCACUAAACAUGUAGGUUACCAUCAUUUUCUUUCUGAAGGGCCUCUCCUGUGAAAAGCAAAUGAUGGUAACCUAAGUAGGUGAGGAAGGGACGGCAGAUGAUAAUUUUUAUGCAGCUUUCUUUUUAUUUUCCAGUCUGUCCAAAAGCAUAACCACUGCUGGUCACAGUGCGGGAAGCUCCAGGGGGAGACCAUACUGGUAUCCCCCUUCUUUGGGCGCACCUUCACACACACUCCACCAUUCACUCAUAUCGCAGAGACCUGGCUGGGAUCGAACCAGCAACCUCUAAACCCGUGAGGCAGCGGUCUUACCUGUGAGCCACAGGUCUCUUGUUAGAGCAAGUGAAGGAACUUAUUUUUGACUGUUGACUUGUGAGUUCCCAA